This 497-nucleotide ribosomal RNA is filed under the name uncultured bacterium. RNAcentral's name for it is "partial 16S ribosomal RNA". It matches the Rfam family "Bacterial small subunit ribosomal RNA", at positions 28 to 507 of the family's 1533-position model. The record is from RNAcentral.
GAUGAACGCUGGCGGCGUGCCUAAUACAUGCAAGUCGAGCGAACGGACGAGAAGCUUGCUUUUCUGAUGUUAGCGGCGGACGGGUGAGUAACACGUGGAUAACCUACCUAUAAGACUGGGAUAACUUCGGGAAACCGGAGCUAAUACCUGCUAAUAUUUUGAACCUCAUUGUUCAAAAGUGAAAGACGUUCUUGCUGUCACUUAUAGAUGGAUCCGCGCUGCAUUAGCUAGUUGGUAAGGUAACGGCUUACCAAGUCAACGAUGCAUAGCCGACCUGAGAGGGUGAUCGGCGACAAUGGAACUGAGACAAGGUCCAGACUACUAAGGGAGGCAGCAGUAGGGAAUAUUCCGAAAUGGGCGAAAGCCUGACGGAGCCACGCCGCGUGAGUGAUGAAGGUCUUCGGAUCGUAAAACUCUGUUAUUAGGGAAGAACAUAUGUGUAAGUAACUGUGCACAUCUUGACGGUACCUAAUCAGAAAGCCACGGCUAACUACGUG